Molecule: ribosomal RNA, 207 nt
Filed under: uncultured bacterium
Lineage: Bacteria
Description: partial 16S ribosomal RNA
Rfam family: Bacterial small subunit ribosomal RNA
Source: RNAcentral
CGCGCAGGCGGUUCGGUAAGUCGGUCUUAAAAGUGCGGGGCUUAACCCCGUGAUGGGAUUGAAACUGCCGGACUGGAGUGUCGGAGAGGAAAGCAGAAUUCCUAGUGUAGCGGUGAAAUGCGUAGAUAUUAGGAGGAAUACCAGUGGCGAAAGCGGCUUUCUGGACGACAACUGACGCUGAGGCGCGAAAGCCAGGGGAGCAAAACG